ACCCUAACAGGAGCAUUGACU
RNAcentral lists this microRNA (21 nucleotides) under Gadus morhua (Atlantic cod). RNAcentral's name for it is "gmo-miR-430b-5p". Its record names the gene gmo-miR-430b-5p. The record is from miRBase by way of RNAcentral. Lineage: Eukaryota; Metazoa; Chordata; Actinopteri; Gadiformes; Gadidae.